CAUCUGCUUCACCCUAGACAGACACGUUUGUACCAGGAAUCUCUUUCCUGAUCGGGAGUGCUCUUACUCCAUCUGCCCAGCACUCAUAGGACUCAGGAAGCCCCAGAACUGCUCAUACCUGUGGUUGAUCAUGAAGAAGCCCAGGGAACUCUCUAAGUCACCACUUCUUCUGAGAAACCUGGACCAGCCCCGCCCUCCUGCCACUUGCCUGCCCUGUCCUACUUACAGGGACCUCAUUUCUUACCUUGUUACUGGGGAGGCAGCCUGGCCGACGGGAUGCCACUGCUGGAGGCCAUCAUCUUCUGGUCCCUCUGGGCUGUUGGCCUUGGGCAAGUAAAAUUGGAACAACCUGAAAUCUCAAUUUCCAGAGCAAGACUUAAGAGUGUACACAUAUCAUGCAAGAUGUCCACUGACGCCAUGAAUAAGGGCAUACACUGGUAUAGGCAGAAACCAGAUCAGCAGAUAGAGCAUUUAACAUACGUCUCACAAAAUCUUCCUAAUUCUUUAGGAGUGGAGAACAACAAACUUGAGGCAAGUUUAAAUGCUCAAACUUCUACUGCAACCUUGAAAAUAAAUCUCUUAGACGACAAAGAUGAGGCCAUGUACUACUGUGCCUCCUGGGACUGGGUCCACAGCUGGAUCAAGAUAUUUGCAGAAGGAACUAAGCUCAUAGUAACUCCCCCAGAUAAAAAUCUUGAUGAGGACACUUCCCCCAAACCUACAAGUUUUCUUCCUUCAAUGGCUGAAAUAAAACUCCAUAAGAAUGGAACGUAUCUUUGUCUUCUUGAGAAUUUUUACCCUGAUGUUAUCAAGAUAGACUGGAAAGAGAAAAAUGGCAAAACAGUUCUGGAGUCCCUGCAGGGAAACACCAUGAAGACUAAGGACACGUACAUGAAAUACACCUGGCUGACCGUGCCAGAAAAGUCCAUGGAUAAAGAACACAAAUGUAUCGUGAAACAUGAGAAGAAUAAAGGAAGGGUUGAUCAAGAGAUUAUUUUUCAUUCAGUGAACAAAGAACUCACUCCUAUUAACUCUAGAAAAGGGUCUCUGAAAGAUGAAAAUGACCCCCUGCCACUGCAGCUCAUGAACACCUCUGCCUACUACACCUACGUCCUCCUCCUGGUCAAGAGCGUGGUCUACUCCAUCAUCAUCGCCUACUGUCUACUCGGGAGAGGAGUGCUCUGCAGCAAUGGAAAGAGUUCCGAAUAGGUGCUGGCACAAGGCUCCACUUUUCUUUUUUGGCUAUUGUUGCUAAUAAUGUCUGCUGACGAUCUAGUGGGCCUUUCUUCCUGGGUUUGGAUCAUUUCAGCUCACAUGUGUCUUCUUCUGUUGUGUCAUUAUUACAGAAUGGGUUUACAAACCCCUGGGCAAACAGGAAAUGUCACUCUGCACCAAGAACACAUUCUUCUGUGACUCAGGAGCAGGGCUGGGGGCAUCCAUGGGGGCUUAGUCACCGCUCCAGUCCACUGGCUCCUCAGCCACCCAGCACCCUCGCCUCUGUCUACAGCCAGCAUGCACCUUCCCUAGGGUCCCCUGGGGCUCUUUAUCCAGAUAACUGCCUGGAAGCCUUUUAUUUUACAUUUCUGGAAGGUGCCAUCUUUGCCACCUGAAUUUUGUACUGUUUUUCAUAACAGGUCUAAUAAAAAUCAAAAGUCUA
Molecule: non-coding RNA, 1657 nt
Organism: Suricata suricatta (meerkat)
Lineage: Eukaryota; Metazoa; Chordata; Mammalia; Carnivora; Herpestidae
Source: the annotation of a RefSeq genome assembly